RNAcentral lists this ribosomal RNA (253 nucleotides) under uncultured bacterium. RNAcentral's name for it is "partial 16S ribosomal RNA". It matches the Rfam family "Bacterial small subunit ribosomal RNA", at positions 524 to 776 of the family's 1533-position model. The record is from RNAcentral.
UACAGGGGGGGCAAGCGUUGUUCGGAAUUACUGGGCGUAAAGGGCUCGUAGGUGGCCAACUAAGUCAGACGUGAAAUCCCUCAGCUUAACUGGGGAACUGCGUCUGAUACUGGAUGGCUCGAGUUUGGGAGAGGGAUGCGGAAUUCCAGGUGUAGCGGUGAAAUGCGUAGAUAUCGUAAGGAAGACCAGUGGCGAAGGCGGGUCUCUGGACAGUUCCUGACGCUGAGGCACGAAGGCCAGGGGAGCAAACGGG